Molecule: ribosomal RNA, 259 nt
Filed under: uncultured soil bacterium
Lineage: Bacteria
Description: partial 16S ribosomal RNA
Rfam family: Bacterial small subunit ribosomal RNA
Source: RNAcentral
AGAACGAACGCUGGCGGCAUGCCUAAUACAUGCAAGUCGAACGAACACUUCGGUGUUAGUGGCGCACGGGUGCGUAACGCGUGGGAAUCUGCCCUUGGGUUCGGAAUAACAGUUGGAAACGACUGCUAAUACCGGAUGAUAUCGAAAGAUCAAAGAUUUAUCGCCCAGGGAUGAGCCCGCGUAGGAUUAGCUAGUUGGUGAGGUAAAGGCUCACCAAGGCGACGAUCCUUAGCUGGUCUGAGAGGAUGAUCACGCCACA